This 76-nucleotide ribosomal RNA is filed under the name Caerostris darwini. Lineage: Eukaryota; Metazoa; Arthropoda; Arachnida; Araneae; Araneidae. The record is from RNAcentral.
CGAUCACCGAAGUCAAGCAUCAUCGGGCGCGGUCAGUACUUGGGAGGGUGACCACCUGGGAACACCGCGCGCCGUU